This 252-nucleotide ribosomal RNA is filed under the name uncultured bacterium. RNAcentral describes it as "partial 16S ribosomal RNA". It matches the Rfam family "Bacterial small subunit ribosomal RNA", at positions 524 to 776 of the family's 1533-position model. The record is from RNAcentral.
UACGGGGGGGGCAAGCGUUGUUCGGAAUUACUGGGCGUAAAGGGCUCGUAGGCGGCCAACUAAGUCAUACGUGAAAUCCCUCGGCUUAACCGGGGAACUGCGUCUGAUACUGGAUGGCUUGAGAUUGGGAGAGGGAUGCGGAAUUCCAGGUGUAGCGGUGAAAUGCGUAGAUAUCUGGAGGAACACCGGUGGCGAAGGCGGCUCACUGGCCCGAUACUGACGCUGAGGCACGAAAGCGUGGGAGCAAACAGG